UACGGAAGGCAGCAGUGGGGAAUAUUGCACAAUGGGCGCAAGCCUGAUGCAGCCAUGCCGCGUGUAUGAAGAAGGCCUUCGGGUUGUAAAGUACUUUCAGUCGUGAGGAAGGUGUUAAGGUUAAUAACCUUAGCAAUUGACGUUAGCGACAGAAGAAGCACCGGCUAACUCCGUGCCAGCAGCCGCGGUAAUACGGAGGGUGCGAGCGUUAAUCGGAAUUACUGGGCGUAAAGGGCACGCAGGCGGUUAAUUAAGUUGGAUGUGAAAUCCCCGGGCUUAACCUGGGAAUGGCAUUCAAGACUGGUUAGCUAGAGUCUUGUAGAGGGGGUAGAAUUCCAUGUGUAGCGGUGAAAUGCGUAGAGAUGUAGAGGAAUACCGGUGGCGAAGGCGGCCCCUGGACAAAGACUGACGCUCAUGUGCGAAAGCUGGGGAGCAAAC
Molecule: ribosomal RNA, 438 nt
Filed under: uncultured bacterium
Lineage: Bacteria
Description: bacterial SSU rRNA
Rfam family: Bacterial small subunit ribosomal RNA
Source: RNAcentral